This 253-nucleotide ribosomal RNA is filed under the name uncultured bacterium. RNAcentral describes it as "partial 16S ribosomal RNA". It matches the Rfam family "Bacterial small subunit ribosomal RNA", at positions 524 to 776 of the family's 1533-position model. The record is from RNAcentral.
GACGAACCGUGCAAACGUUGUUCGGAAUCACUGGGCUUAAAGGGCGCGUAGGCGGUUCGCCAAGUCGGGGGUGAAAUCUUUCGGCUUAACCGGAAAAGGGCUUUCGAUACUGGCGAGCUAGAGGGAGGUAGGGGCAGCGGGAACUUCCAGUGGAGCGGUGAAAUGCGUUGAUAUUGGAAGGAACGCCGGUGGCGAAAGCGCGCUGCUGGACCUCUUCUGACGCUGAGGCGCGAAAGCUAGGGGAGCAAACGGG